ACGAACGCUAGCGGCGUGCUUUAAGCAUGCAAGUAGGACGAGUCAGUAGCAAUACUGAUAAGUUGCGAACGGCUGAGUAAUUCAAUAGGAAUCUUUCCUUUAGUGGGGAAUACCUCAUCGAAAGAUGAGCUAAUACCGCAUAAUGCCUCCGGGUGAAAGCGCAUAACUGCGCGCUGAUUGAGGAGCCUAUUGCCCAUCAGGUAGUUGGUAGGGUAAAAGCCUACCAAGCCUACGACGGGUACCCGAUCUGAGAGGAUGGACGGGCAGAGUGGGACUGAGACACGGCCCACACACCUACGGGUGGCAGCAACUGGGAAUCGUACACAAUGGACGAAAGUCUGAUGUCGCGACGCCGCGUGAAGGAUGAAGGCGUAUUCGUUGUAAACUUCUUUUGCCAAUGUAGAGAUGCAUUGGAGAAUAAGCACCUGCUAAUCUCGU
RNAcentral lists this ribosomal RNA (438 nucleotides) under uncultured bacterium. RNAcentral describes it as "bacterial SSU rRNA". It matches the Rfam family "Bacterial small subunit ribosomal RNA", at positions 29 to 506 of the family's 1533-position model. The record is from RNAcentral.